Molecule: ribosomal RNA, 497 nt
Filed under: uncultured bacterium
Lineage: Bacteria
Description: partial 16S ribosomal RNA
Rfam family: Bacterial small subunit ribosomal RNA
Source: RNAcentral
GAUGAACGCUGGCGGCGUGCCUAAUACAUGCAAGUCGAGCGAACAGACGAGGAGCUCGCUCCUCUGACGUUAGCGGCGGACGGGUAAGUAACACGUGGAUAACCUAUCUAUAAGACUGGGAUAACUUCGGGAAACCGGAGCUAAUACCGGAUAAUAUAUUGAACCGCAUGGUUCAAUAGUGAAAGAUGGUUUUGCUGUCACUUAUAGAUGGAUCCGCUCCGCAUUAGCUAGUUGGUAAGGUAACGGCUUACCAAGGCAACGAUUCGUAGCCGACCGGAGAGGGUGAUAGGCCACACUGGAAGUGAGACACGGUCCAGACUCCUACGGGAGGCAGCAGCAGGGAAUCUGCCGCAAUGGGCGAAAACCUGACGGAGCGGCGCCGCGUGAGUGAUGAAGGUCUUCGGAGCGGAAAGCUCUGUUAUUAGGGAAGAACAAAUGUGUAAGUAACUAUGCACGUCUUGACGGUACCUACACAGAAAGCCACGGCUAACUACGUG